Molecule: long non-coding RNA, 843 nt
Filed under: Homo sapiens (human)
Lineage: Eukaryota; Metazoa; Chordata; Mammalia; Primates; Hominidae
Description: long non-coding RNA NONHSAT175423.1
Source: RNAcentral
UUCAUGGCUCACAAGCCCAAAAUAUUUACUAUCUGGCCCUUUACAGAAAAAGUUUGUCAACCCCUUACCAAAAGGAAAAUAAUAACCUGCUUCUGUCAUUUGUGCUUAACCUAAUUCAAAUAUUCAGCUUUGUCAUGCGUGUCCUUUUCCUCUUGCAGAUGUUUCUGUCAUGGGUAAUAUAUUAUUAGUUGUCAACAUAAAUAAUGAACCUUUUCAAGCGAUAGGUUGCUAACACGUGUUUCAUCAGCCACUACUACAGUUCAGUGAUAAGGUACUGAGAGCUGGUGGAAAGAAAUUCUCCUGCCCAUCUGCCCAGCCUAGAAGAGGAGGUAUUGCUCUACUGCAGUUGAUUUCUUUUUCUUUCUUUCUUUCUCUUUCUUUCUUUCUUUUUUAAGUCUAGUUGAUCAAAAUUGCUCAAUGAUGGCAGGUUUCUGUAACCAUUCUUGCGUUGAAGUAAUGUGGCACACAAUGAGUCCAUGACAGGUUUUGUUCUAAGUAAAUAUUAGUGUCCACUCACUAUGGAAUUUGCAAGUGAAAUUUCCAAAAUGUUCAUAUUGUUUUUCUACAAUACUGGGAUCAUUCACUCUCAGGCUGGUGCUGGUACCACCACCCUGUCCCCAGGAGGCUACUAGAUGUGUUUACAGUUUACAGUCCAGACCCAUGUCCAGGGGGUCUUUCCUUGUUUGCCUCCCAUCUGUUUCCAUGUGGCCAGGAGCCACUCUGCUCACCAGCUGCAAUUCACUCCAGGUUAAUUUCUGCUCCAUCAAAUUAAGACUCCAGGGGAGAAAAAAAUUAUUUCCCCUGGCUCUGAGUCUCCAGUUUUUUGGAGACCUGAGAGACCCU